UCCUUUUAAAGCUUUCUUUCAUCAGUCCCCGGAGCUCUGAAUAAGAACUGCCUCCUCAUAAAGCCGAAGCUCCGCCCGAGCGAGCCCAAAAGCCUAGUUAAGCCCCGCCUCCCCCCACAAACAGCACUUCUUCAGAGCUCCCACAUUUUGCAAGUAGUAGUUGUGUUACGUUGCAUCACUUUUGCAUGUUUUUUUUUUUGUUUUGUCUUCUUUCUUUUCUCUCGAUGUCUUCAUCUGCAGUAGGGCGCCUCAUCUGUGCCGCUAAGCGUGCUCGGCAAACUCACAGAAAACACGCCGUCUCUCCUGCAGACCGCUCAGGGGUCGCGCCCUUUCACCCCGUCUCCGCCAGUUAAAAAAAGAGAGAAACAUUUAGCCGCACGACGUCUGAAGGCAGCCUUCCGAACGUGGGCUGCCGGAGUGACGUGCUUUGAGGACACGGAGGGGAAGCGGGACGUGCUCCACAUGCUGACGCCGCGAGCAGCAUCGUCUGAGCCUCAGAGUCCAGCAUCUUCACAUUUAAAGCAGAAACAUCAAAAUCCCUUUGAGUGUUUGAUCCAGGAGGAUCCAGUUUGGGCUUUUAUUGCUUCUCAUCAGCCAGUAAUGCGCUCACUUCCUGUGAGUCAACGUCUCUUGCUGUAAUUGGCAUGCAGCAGCAGCAGCAGCGGCUGCGCUUUAAACAUGCAGGAGGGACGAGGAGGAACCAUGACGUCAGCCUUCCUCUGUCUGCAUCCGCCUGUCCCGCAUACUCCUUUCCCUUCCCUCCUCUGUCAGAUUCAGACGCUUGUUUGCUCUUGUCAUGCACUUUUUUUUUAAUCAAAUUUGGAUUUUUUAAAAUUUGUUUUUGAUGGAGGUCAGGAGCUGCAGAAGUCAGACUUUUCUGGGUUUGCCUGGUAAACAUUUUUUGUCCAAUCUUUUAAACUAAUUGAAUCAAAAUUGGAUUAAAGAAGAAAGGCACGUUUCAGUCUGUCUGGCAGAGUGUGUGCUGGGAAACCAGACUGAACCCACAUGAGGUCAGCGCGUCCGGUCGGCUCCCGGCGGAACGGUUGAUGUGACGCGGCGAGCAGGAGCCGAUGACGUCGUCUGCGCUCAGGAGAAACUUUUGCUGUGAGCUGUGAGGUUGCAGCGCCCUCUGCUGGCAGAUCUCUGCGCUGCUUUGAAGGCCAGCUCCUCUUCAUCCAUGUAAAACCUUUUCCUCUUGACGUCAUCUGCCUCACAAACUCACUCAGCACUGUUUCGGCUGACCAACAAUCGCUUCACGCCCCCCCCCCACACUAUUUCUUUCCUUGGUGUGAAUGAGGAGUGAUCAGAAAUGACUCAGCAACCCUGAAAGUCCCCCCCCCCCGUGGUCUUUUCAUUAUGAUUAUUUUUUUCUAGGACGUACUUCCUGCCUGCAGGAGUUCAUCAGAAAGUCGCUCCUGGUGGCGCAAAGCAACCCCCCCCCCCUUCACGUUGCUGAGAGCUUUCUGUUUACAUGCUCUCUCUCUCAAGCUCAAGCUUCCGGGCAUGAAUGCCGCGUUCAAGGACACGCUUUACAUGGGUGCUUUUAGUGUUCGGUGUUCACACUGGACUGUAGCUGCCUCACACUAGUUUGGUGCGAAAUGUCCAAGCGGUGCAGAUCUGGUAAAUCCGGGUCCCGGCUUUUUAUUUCACAGCUCUAUUCCGAUAAAUCAAUGACUUGGUGUCAACUAAUCGCAGUUAUUCAUUUAUCUUCCAUGAUUUUUAAACAGUUCGGCGUUUUGAAAAGGACCCUAAACCAAACAUCGGUACCCAAGCCGAGUGGCUGUUCGGUCAAAGUUCAACAGGUUGAACUUUUAAUGCAUGUUCAAUCGCUGCGCGUUUUUACGUACAGCCCAAAAACGGAAAACGUCUGUAGCAACGCGUGAACUGCAGAGUUUUGAACGCGGUAGCCUGAAACGUUCAGCGUUUAUGAAAAACAGAAAAA
Molecule: non-coding RNA, 1942 nt
Organism: Oryzias latipes (Japanese medaka)
Lineage: Eukaryota; Metazoa; Chordata; Actinopteri; Beloniformes; Adrianichthyidae
Source: RefSeq, a predicted model, not a curated record